Non-coding RNA from Acanthosepion pharaonis, 111 nucleotides. The record is from the annotation of a GenBank genome assembly. NCBI's taxonomy places the organism in Eukaryota, Metazoa, Mollusca, Cephalopoda, Sepiida, Sepiidae.
GGCCACAUCAUGUUGAAACACAGCAUCCUGUAGAAUCAAUGAAGUUAAGCGGCAUUGAGACUGGUUAGUACCUAGAUGGGUGACUGCUUGGGAAUACCAGGUGCUGUAUGC